AUACUUAACCUGGCAGGUGAGAUACCAUGAUUGCGAAGGUUGUUUUCCCAGGGCGAGGCUUAUCCACUGCACUCUGGAUGUGCAUAAUUUGUGGUAGUGGUGGGGAACUGCAUUUGUGCUUUCUCCUG
RNAcentral lists this small nuclear RNA (128 nucleotides) under Otolemur garnettii (small-eared galago). RNAcentral's name for it is "U1 spliceosomal RNA (ENSOGAG00000023963.1)". It matches the Rfam family "U1 spliceosomal RNA". Rfam says of the family: U1 is a small nuclear RNA (snRNA) component of the spliceosome (involved in pre-mRNA splicing). Its 5' end forms complementary base pairs with the 5' splice junction, thus defining the 5' donor site of an intron. Lineage: Eukaryota; Metazoa; Chordata; Mammalia; Primates; Galagidae. The record is from RNAcentral.